Molecule: ribosomal RNA, 2905 nt
Filed under: Serratia marcescens
Lineage: Bacteria; Pseudomonadati; Pseudomonadota; Gammaproteobacteria; Enterobacterales; Yersiniaceae
Description: bacterial LSU rRNA
Rfam family: Bacterial large subunit ribosomal RNA
Source: RNAcentral
UUAAGUGACUAAGCGUACACGGUGGAUGCCUAGGCAGUCAGAGGCGAUGAAGGGCGUGCUAAUCUGCGAAAAGCGUCGGUAAGGUGAUAUGAACCGUUACAACCGGCGAUACCCGAAUGGGGAAACCCAGUGUGUUUCGACACACUAUCAUGUCAUGAAUACAUAGUGGCAUGAGGCGAACCGGGGGAACUGAAACAUCUAAGUACCCCGAGGAAAAGAAAUCAACCGAGAUUCCCCCAGUAGCGGCGAGCGAACGGGGAGGAGCCCAGAACCUGAAUCGGCUUGUGUGUUAGUGGAAGCGUCUGGAAAGUCGCGCAGCAAAGGGUGAUAGCCCCGUACACUAAAAUGCACAGGUCGUGAGUUCGAUGAGUAGGGCGGGACACGUGACAUCCUGUCUGAAUAUGGGGGGACCAUCCUCCAAGGCUAAAUACUCCUGACUGACCGAUAGUGAACCAGUACCGUGAGGGAAAGGCGAAAAGAACCCCGGCGAGGGGAGUGAAAUAGAACCUGAAACCGUGUACGUACAAGCAGUGGGAGCACCUUCGUGGUGUGACUGCGUACCUUUUGUAUAAUGGGUCAGCGACUUAUAUUUUGUAGCAAGGUUAACCGUAUAGGGGAGCCGUAGGGAAACCGAGUCUUAACUGGGCGAAUAGUUGCAAGGUAUAGACCCGAAACCCGGUGAUCUAGCCAUGGGCAGGUUGAAGGUUGGGUAACACUAACUGGAGGACCGAACCGACUAAUGUUGAAAAAUUAGCGGAUGACUUGUGGCUGGGGGUGAAAGGCCAAUCAAACCGGGAGAUAGCUGGUUCUCCCCGAAAGCUAUUUAGGUAGCGCCUCGUGAACUCAUCUUCGGGGGUAGAGCACUGUUUCGGCUAGGGGGCCAUCCCGGCUUACCAAACCGAUGCAAACUCCGAAUACCGAAGAAUGUUAUCACGGGAGACACACGGCGGGUGCUAACGUCCGUCGUGAAGAGGGAAACAACCCAGACCGCCAGCUAAGGUCCCAAAGUCAUGGUUAAGUGGGAAACGAUGUGGGAAGGCAUAGACAGCCAGGAUGUUGGCUUAGAAGCAGCCAUCAUUUAAAGAAAGCGUAAUAGCUCACUGGUCGAGUCGGCCUGCGCGGAAGAUGUAACGGGGCUAAACCAUGCACCGAAGCUGCGGCAGCGACGCUUAGGCGUUGUUGGGUAGGGGAGCGUUCUGUAAGCCGUUGAAGGUGGCCUGUGAGGGUCGCUGGAGGUAUCAGAAGUGCGAAUGCUGACAUAAGUAACGAUAAAGCGGGUGAAAAGCCCGCUCGCCGGAAGACCAAGGGUUCCUGUCCAACGUUAAUCGGGGCAGGGUGAGUCGACCCCUAAGGCGAGGCUGAAAAGCGUAGUCGAUGGGAAACAGGUUAAUAUUCCUGUACUUGGUGUUACUGCGAAGGGGGGACGGAGAAGGCUAGGCUAGCCGGGCGACGGUUGUCCCGGUUUAAGCGUGUAGGGGGUGUGACCUGGUAAAUCCGGUUGCAUAUCAACCCUGAGGCGUGAUGACGAUGCACUACGGUGCAGAAGUAGUUGAUGCCCUGCUUCCAGGAAAAUCCUCUAAGCUCCAGGUAACAUUAAAUCGUACCCCAAACCGACACAGGUGGUCAGGUAGAGAAUACCAAGGCGCUUGAGAGAACUCGGGUGAAGGAACUAGGCAAAAUGGUGCCGUAACUUCGGGAGAAGGCACGCUGGCAUGUAGGUGAAGUCCCUUGCGGAUGGAGCUGAAGCCAGUCGAAGAUACCAGCUGGCUGCAACUGUUUAAUAAAAACACAGCACUGUGCAAACACGAAAGUGGACGUAUACGGUGUGACGCCUGCCCGGUGCUGGAAGGUUAAUUGAUGGGGUCAGCCGCAAGGCGAAGCUCUUGAUCGAAGCCCCAGUAAACGGCGGCCGUAACUAUAACGGUCCUAAGGUAGCGAAAUUCCUUGUCGGGUAAGUUCCGACCUGCACGAAUGGCGUAAUGAUGGCCAGGCUGUCUCCACCCGAGACUCAGUGAAAUUGAACUCGCUGUGAAGAUGCAGUGUACCCGCGGCAAGACGGAAAGACCCCGUGAACCUUUACUAUAGCUUGACACUGAACAUUGAGCCUUGAUGUGUAGGAUAGGUGGGAGGCUUUGAAGCGUGGACGCCAGUCUGCGUGGAGCCAUCCUUGAAAUACCACCCUUUAAUGUUUGAUGUUCUAACUCGGCCCCGUGAUCCGGGGUGAGGACAGUGUCUGGUGGGUAGUUUGACUGGGGCGGUCUCCUCCCAAAGAGUAACGGAGGAGCACGAAGGUUAGCUAAUCACGGUCGGACAUCGUGAGGUUAGUGCAAAGGCAUAAGCUAGCUUGACUGCGAGAGUGACGGCUCGAGCAGGUACGAAAGUAGGUCUUAGUGAUCCGGUGGUUCUGAAUGGAAGGGCCAUCGCUCAACGGAUAAAAGGUACUCCGGGGAUAACAGGCUGAUACCGCCCAAGAGUUCAUAUCGACGGCGGUGUUUGGCACCUCGAUGUCGGCUCAUCACAUCCUGGGGCUGAAGUAGGUCCCAAGGGUAUGGCUGUUCGCCAUUUAAAGUGGUACGCGAGCUGGGUUUAGAACGUCGUGAGACAGUUCGGUCCCUAUCUGCCGUGGGCGUUGGAAGAUUGAGAGGGGUUGCUCCUAGUACGAGAGGACCGGAGUGAACGCACCACUGGUGUUCGGGUUGUCAUGCCAAUGGCAUUGCCCGGUAGCUAAGUGCGGAAAAGAUAAGCGCUGAAAGCAUCUAAGCGCGAAACUUGCCUCAAGAUGAGUCUUCCCUGGGCCUUUAAGGCCCCUGAAGGAACGUUUAAGACUAAGACGUUGAUAGGCUGGGUGUGUAAGUGCAGCGAUGCAUUGAGCUAACCAGUACUAAUGAUCCGUGAGGCUUAACCU